Carassius auratus (goldfish) is the source of this 501-nucleotide long non-coding RNA. RefSeq lists it as uncharacterized. The transcript is spliced from 2 exons. The record is from RefSeq and is a predicted model, not a curated record. NCBI's taxonomy places the organism in Eukaryota, Metazoa, Chordata, Actinopteri, Cypriniformes, Cyprinidae.
AGCUGUGCAUUUGUUUAGCUAAUAAAAUAUAAAAACUGUGUACAACAGUUGUGUACAAUUGUUUAAUUAUGUCAUCCUGGUUAGGGUUGGCCUGACUGACGAUGCCAUCGUCCAUCACGAUGCUGCGCCGGCAAACAGCGUCAUCAGCUCCAGUAUCUCGCCCGUGCAUCUGUUGUCAUGCGACAGAGAAGUCACGUCCUAUAGACAGUUGUGAACGUGCUGACAGCUGGUUGCCCAGGCUAUGGAUUAAAGAUAAUACUGUUGAUCGCCAUCCCAGGGUUUCUAGAGAUUACAGCAGCUCCAGACUGAAUCCAGACUCACUUGUGAAGACUUCAGAUGACACCAACGCUCACAAAGACUACAACUGUACAUGAACACAUAAUACAUUUGACACACAAAACAAAUAUUAUCCUUAUUUUGCCUAUAAGGGUAAAUUUGAUGAUUUUCAACCUGCUUUAUUGUAACGUCUCUUAUAUCUGUAAAUGAACAAUAUUUACUCUC